This 85-nucleotide transfer RNA is filed under the name Treponema sp. Its description in RNAcentral is "tRNA-Ser". It matches the Rfam family "tRNA". Rfam says of the family: Transfer RNA (tRNA) molecules are approximately 80 nucleotides in length. Their secondary structure includes four short double-helical elements and three loops (D, anti-codon, and T loops). Lineage: Bacteria; Pseudomonadati; Spirochaetota; Spirochaetia; Treponematales; Treponemataceae. The record is from RNAcentral.
GGAGCGGUGUCCGAGUGGUUGAAGGAGGCGGUCUUGAAAACCGUUGUGCCGCGAGGUACCGGGGGUUCGAAUCCCCCCUGCUCCG